AUGGCGAGCCUGCGCCCGGUGCAGGGUUUAGGGUGCGAUGCGGCGGUGGGGUCGCUGGUGCCCAGCGGGAGCCGGGAGUUCAAGCUCUGCAGCAAGCACACUGAGGGCAAGCGUCCGCUCUACGCCAUCAGCUUCAACUUCAUCGACGCCCGCUACUACGACGUCUUCGCCACCGCCGGCGGCAAUCGUGUGACAACGUACCGUGGCCUCCCCGACGGUAACUUGGCUGUUCUGCAAGCAUACAUUGAUGCGGACGAUGCUCAGUCAUUCUACACUCUGAGCUGGGCUUCUGACCUUCGCAGCACACCACUGCUAGUGGCAGCAGGAACCAAUAUGGUCAUUCGGGUCAUCAACUGUGCCACCGGGAAGUUGUUUAAGAGUUUUAUUGGCCAUGGUGGUUCAAUAAAUGAGAUCAGAACUCAACCAUUGAAUCCUUCGCUCUUCAUUUCUGCAAGCAAGGACGAGUCUGUUAGGCUAUGGAAUGUCCAUACAGGGAUCUGCAUCUUGAUUUUUGCUGGAGGAGGAGGUCACCGUCAUGAUGUAUUGAGUGUUGACUUCCACCCUUCUGAUGUGCACCGAAUUGCCAGUUGUGGCAUGGAUAAUACAGUUAAAAUAUGGUCAAUGAAAGAAUUUUCGCCAUACGUGAAGAAAUCCUUUACAUGGACUGACCUUCCAUCAAAAUUUCCAACAAAAGUUGUCCAAUUUCCGCUUAUGACUUGCGUGGUGCAUUCUAACUAUGUUGACUGUACUAGGUGGCUUGGUGACUUCAUCCUGUCGAAGAGUGUUGAAAAUGAAAUUGUUCUGUGGGAGCCAAAAACAAAAGAGCAGGGUCACGGCGAGGGAGAUAGCAUUGAUGUUCUUCAGAAGUACCCUGUGCCCGAUUGUGACAUUUGGUUUAUCAAAUUUUCAUGUGAUUUUCACUUCAAUCAAUUAGCAAUAGGCAACCGUGAAGGCAAAAUCUAUGUGUGGGAUGUGCAGACGUGCCCUCCUGAGCUAAUUACCAUGCUGAGUAGUCCGCAAUGCAAAAUUACAAUAAGGCAGACUGCAGUGUCGUUUGACGGAAGCACGUUCGUUGCCUGCAGCAAGGAUGGCAGCAUAUACCGCUGGGACGAAGUGGAACAUGAAGCUGCGAAAAAUUGA
RNAcentral lists this ribosomal RNA (1140 nucleotides) under Triticum aestivum (bread wheat). RNAcentral's name for it is "partial small subunit ribosomal RNA". The record is from RNAcentral. Lineage: Eukaryota; Viridiplantae; Streptophyta; Magnoliopsida; Poales; Poaceae.